This 442-nucleotide ribosomal RNA is filed under the name uncultured bacterium. Its description in RNAcentral is "partial 16S ribosomal RNA". It matches the Rfam family "Bacterial small subunit ribosomal RNA", at positions 338 to 795 of the family's 1533-position model. The record is from RNAcentral.
CCUACGGGAGGCAGCAGUAGGGAAUCUUUCACAAUGGGCGAAAGCCUGAUGGAGCAACGCCGCGUGCAGGAUGAAGGCCUUCGGGUUGUAAACUGCUUUUAUAAGCGAGAAAUAUGAUGGUAACUUAUGAAUAAGGAUCGGCUAACUACGUGCCAGCAGCCGCGGUCAUACGUAGGAUCCGAGCAUUAUCCGGAGUGACUGGGUGUAAAGAGUUGCGUAGGUGGCAUAAUAAGUAGCUAGUGAAAUCUGGUGGCUCAACCAUUCAGACUAUUAGCUAAACUGUUAAGCUCGAGACCGUUAGGGGUAACUGGAAUUUCUAGUGUAGGAGUGAAAUCCGUAGAUAUUAGAAGGAACACGAAUAGCGUAGGCAGGUUGCUGGGACGGUUCUGACACUAAGGCACGAAAGCGUAGGGAGCAAACGGGAUUAGAUACCCCUGUAGUC